GACGAACGCUGGCGGCGUGCCUAAUACAUGCAAGUCGAGCGAAGUUUUUCUGGUGCUUGCACCGGAAAAACUUAGCGGCGAACGGGUGAGUAACACGUAAAGAACCUGCCUCAUAGACUGGGACAACUAUUGGAAACGAUAGCUAAUACCGGAUAAUAGCAUUAACUGCAUGGUUGAUGUUUAAAAGUUGGUUUUGCUAACACUAUGAGAUGGCUUUGCGGCGCAUUAGCUAGUUGGUGGGGUAAAGGCCUACCAAGGCGACGAUGCAUAGCCGACCUGAGAGGGUGAUCGGCCACACUGGGACUGAGACACGGCCCAGACUCCUACGGGAGGCAGCAGUAGGGAAUCUUCCGCAAUGGGCGAAAGCCUGACGGAGCAACGCCGCGUGAGUGAAGAAGGAUUUCGGUUCGUAAAGCUCUGUUGUUAGGGAAGAAUGAUUGUGUAGUAACUAUACACAGUAGAGACGGUACCUAACCAGAAAGCCACGGCUAACUACGUG
RNAcentral lists this ribosomal RNA (499 nucleotides) under uncultured bacterium. RNAcentral describes it as "partial 16S ribosomal RNA". It matches the Rfam family "Bacterial small subunit ribosomal RNA", at positions 28 to 507 of the family's 1533-position model. The record is from RNAcentral.